This is a long non-coding RNA of Hylaeus volcanicus, 902 nucleotides long. RefSeq lists it as uncharacterized. The transcript is spliced from 4 exons. The record is from RefSeq and is a predicted model, not a curated record. NCBI's taxonomy places the organism in Eukaryota, Metazoa, Arthropoda, Insecta, Hymenoptera, Colletidae.
UUGUAAUAAUUUGAAUUUUUGAAUCUGUGAUCCUAUAAAAAGUUACGAUGGAAUACUUUCAAAGAGAAUGGUUUAUAUUACUGCUUGGUGUCAAUUUUUAUUUUUACAAUACUUCAGACUAAAAUCCAAAAAAUUUUGAAAGAACCGUGUAGAGAUAUUUUGUAAAUGCGAUGUUGGUUACGGAAGUAUGGUUCAUACUGUCUUGCUUUUCAGUUGCCUGACUUAAGGCGCUCUUGACCUGCAUUCCAACACACAAAAUAAUUUACAAAGUUCGCUCUCAGUACGGUUUUCAAAAUAACGGUAUCAAUGGAUAAGGUGAUUGAAAAAAAGCUUUACCGAAAGUAGGAAAACUUUAUUUGACUUAUAAGAGACUAAAAAGAUAUCCUGUUGCUGACAUUAUUUGCUAGAGAAGGAUAUUCUUGACGCGACUGACGGAAAUUAUAAUUUCUGAAUUAUUUUUAAAGAUUUUUUUUUAAAAAAAGAAAAGUAUUUCUUCUAGUUUAAUCGCGCGAAUGGCUUCAUCUCUUGUUUUAUAAGUCAGUGUGAAAACGACAUUCAAAAGAACGAGUCACUAUAUAAUGGAGAAUCCUUAGCAUAAUGAUUUAGCAUAAAAUUAUUAUUAUACAUAACAAUAAGAAAAGUGUAUGUUGCAUGAUGCAAGCAUAAGCGUUGUAACGAAAAAGAGUAGAAAUUCAACAAGGAAGAAAUCGACAUUGCUUCCAAAACUAGUAAAUGGUUGCGAAAAGAAAAUAAUGACUUGUGCGAAGCUGUCAAUUGAUUUCUUCUUUUAUUAAUUUGACGAAAAACUAUGUGACGAAGCAGUUAAACUAUUUUGUAAAAGAAAAACUGGUCGUUUAUAUAGAAACGAAGAAAUUGUUUGCAAUGCAUUACGAGAGUAGAGA